GUCCCUUUAGCUGAGCUGAUUUAAAAAAUGUAAAGGCUAAACUCGAUGCUCAGAAGAGUGAGUUGUGUGAGAGUUCGCAUGUCCAGCUGAUUUACCUACGAAUUAAGGAUAUUUGAAUGAACAGAAUUAGGAGAGGGAGGGAGAGGGGGGGAUUUCAGCUUUGGUUUGUCUAGGAAAAUUUGCUGAAUAAAUGUGUGAAAAGAAGCCCCUGAGGUGGAGUCCAAGUCAAGUCUCAAGUCUGUGAGGUGGAGUCCAAGUCAAGUCUCAAGUCCCUGAGGUGGAGUCCAAGUCAAGUCUCAAGUCUGUGAGGUGGAGUCCAAGUCCUGGAGGUGGAGUCCAAAUCAAGUCUCAAGUCCCUGAGGUGGAGGUCAAGUCAAGUCUCAAGACUGUGAGGUGGAGUCCAAGUCAAGUCUCAAGUCUGUGAGGUGGAGUCCAAGUCAAGUUCUGGCUGAAGAACAGCAG
Long non-coding RNA from Ictalurus punctatus (channel catfish), 462 nucleotides. NCBI's taxonomy places the organism in Eukaryota, Metazoa, Chordata, Actinopteri, Siluriformes, Ictaluridae. The record is from Ensembl.